Molecule: ribosomal RNA, 551 nt
Filed under: uncultured Candidatus Pelagibacter sp.
Lineage: Bacteria; Pseudomonadati; Pseudomonadota; Alphaproteobacteria; Candidatus Pelagibacterales; Candidatus Pelagibacteraceae
Description: bacterial SSU rRNA
Rfam family: Bacterial small subunit ribosomal RNA
Source: RNAcentral
UGCAGUCGAACGAAGUAGCAAUACUUAGUGGCAGACGGGUGAGUAACAUGUAGGUAUCUUCCCUUUGGUGAGGAAUAACAAGAGGAAACUUUUGCUAAUACCUCAUAAGUCUUUACAGAGAAAGCUUUAUGCGCCAUUGGAUGAGCCUGCACUUGAUUAGUUUGUUGGUGGGGUAAUGGCCUACCAAGACAAUGAUCAAUAGCUGAUUUGAGAGGAUGAUCAGCCACAUUGGGACUGAGACACGGCCCAAACUCCUACGGGAGGCAGCAGUAGGGAAUCUUGCACAAUGGAGGAAACUCUGAUGCAGCGAUGCCGCGUGAGUGAAGAAGGCCUUUGGGUUGUAAAGCUCUUUCGUCGGGGAAGAAAAUGACUGUACCCGAAUAAGAAGGUCCGGCUAACUUCGUGCCAGCAGCCGCGGUAAUACGAAGGGACCUAGCGUAGUUCGGAAUUACUGGGCUUAAAGAGCUCGUAGGUGGUUAAGAAAGUUGGUGGUGAAAUCCCAAGGCUUAACCUUGGAACUGCCACCAAAACUUUUUAACUAGAGUAUGAUA